This 468-nucleotide ribosomal RNA is filed under the name uncultured bacterium. RNAcentral's name for it is "partial 16S ribosomal RNA". It matches the Rfam family "Bacterial small subunit ribosomal RNA", at positions 28 to 507 of the family's 1533-position model. The record is from RNAcentral.
GACGAACGCUGGCGGCGUGCUUAACACAUGCAAGUCGAACGGAAAGGCCCUGCUUUUGUGGGGUGCUCGAGUGGCGAACGGGUGAGUAACACGUGAGUAACCUGCCCUUGACUUUGGGAUAACUUCAGGAAACUGGGGCUAAUACCGGAUAGGAGCUCCUGCUGCAUGGUGGGGGUUGGAAAGUUUCGGCGGUUGGGGAUGGACUCGCGGCUUAUCGGCUUGUUGGUGGGGUAGUGGCUUACCAAGGCUUUGACGGGUAGCCGGCCUGAGAGGGUGAACGGCCACAUUGGGACUGAGGUACGGCGCAGAAUCCUACGGGCGGCAGCAGUGGGGAAUAUUGCAGAAUGGGCGGAAGCCUGAUGCAGCAACGCCGCGUGCGGGAUGACGGCCUUCGGGUUGUAAACCGCUUUCGCAUGUGACGAAGCGUGAGUGACGGUAAUGGGUAAAGAAGCAACGGCUAACUACGUG